AAUGAACGCUGGCGGCAGGCCUAACACAUGCAAGUCGAACGAGGCAGCAAUGCCUAGUGGCGGACGGGUGAGUAACGCGUGGGAACGUGCCCCUUGGUACGGAAUAGCCCUGGGAAACUGGGAGUAAUACCGUAUGUGGUCGAGAGACGAAAGAUUUAUCGCCAAGGGAUCGGCCCGCGUUGGAUUAGGUAGUUGGUGGGGUAAUGGCCUACCAAGCCGACGAUCCAUAGCUGGUUUGAGAGGAUGAUCAGCCACGCUGGGACUGAGACACGGCACAGACUCCUACGGGAGGCAGCAGUGGGGAAUCUUAGACAAUGGGGGAAACCCUGAUCUAGCCAUGCCGCGUGAUCGAUGAAGGCCUUAGGGUUGUAAAGAUCUUUCAGUGGGGAAGAUAAUGACGGUACCCACAGAAGAAGCCCCGGCUAACUCCGUGCCAGCCGCCGCAGUAA
This 449-nucleotide ribosomal RNA is filed under the name uncultured bacterium. Its description in RNAcentral is "partial 16S ribosomal RNA". It matches the Rfam family "Bacterial small subunit ribosomal RNA", at positions 29 to 523 of the family's 1533-position model. The record is from RNAcentral.